Cavia porcellus (domestic guinea pig) is the source of this 181-nucleotide small nuclear RNA. Its record names the gene U4. It matches the Rfam family "U4 spliceosomal RNA". From Rfam's summary of the family: U4 small nuclear RNA (U4 snRNA) is a component of the major U2-dependent spliceosome. The structure of U4 snRNA from yeast and human has been reported. The record is from Ensembl. NCBI's taxonomy places the organism in Eukaryota, Metazoa, Chordata, Mammalia, Rodentia, Caviidae.
AGUUCUGCACAGUGGCAGAAUCACAGCCAAUGAGGUUUAUCCGAGGCACAAUUAUUGCUAAUUAAAAUACCUCAUUGCCACUUAGCUGUGUGGAGACCUCUAAGUAUCCAUGUAGAUAAUUCUCACACACAUCGGCCAUGAAAGUGUUUGUAAGUACUUAAAGCUGGAAAGAGGUAUGCAG